RNAcentral lists this ribosomal RNA (504 nucleotides) under uncultured bacterium. RNAcentral describes it as "bacterial SSU rRNA". It matches the Rfam family "Bacterial small subunit ribosomal RNA", at positions 28 to 524 of the family's 1533-position model. The record is from RNAcentral.
GAUGAACGCUAGCGGCAGGCUUAAUACAUGCAAGUCGAGGGGCAGCAUGACUGUAGCAAUACAGUUGAUGGCGACCGGCAAACGGGUGCGGAACACGUACAGAACCUUCCUUCGAGCGGGGAAUAGCCCAGAGAAAUUUGGAUUAAUACCCCAUAGUACAACGGAGUGGCAUCACUUUGUUGUUAAAGAUUUAUCACUUGAAGAUGGCUGUGCGGCUGAUUAGGUAGUUGGCGGGUAACGGCCCACCAAGCCUGCGAUCAGUAACUGGUGUGAGAGCACGACCAGUCACACGGGCACUGAGACACGGGCCCGACUCCUACGGGAGGCAGCAGUAAGGAAUAUUGGUCAAUGGACGAAAGUCUGAACCAGCCAUGCCGCGUGGAGGAUGAAGGUCCUCUGGAUUGUAAACUUCUUUUAUAUGGGACGAAAAAAGGGUUUUCUAACUCGUCUGACGGUACCAUAUGAAUAAGCACCGGCUAACUCCGUGCCAGCAGCCGCGGUAAU